Molecule: ribosomal RNA, 656 nt
Filed under: uncultured bacterium
Lineage: Bacteria
Description: bacterial SSU rRNA
Rfam family: Bacterial small subunit ribosomal RNA
Source: RNAcentral
AUAUGCCAUUGAGUGGGGGACAACAGUUGGAAACGACUGCUAAUACCGCAUAACGUCUACGGACCAAAGGGGGGGAUCUUCGGACCUCUCGCUCAUUGAUUAGCCCAAGUGAGAUUAGCUAGUUGGUAAGGUAAUGGCUUACCAAGGCGACGAUCUCUAGCUGGUUUGAGAGGAUGAUCAGCCACACUGGGACUGAGACACGGCCCAGACUCCUACGGGAGGCAGCAGUGGGGAAUAUUGCACAAUGGGCGAAAGCCUGAUGCAGCCAUGCCGCGUGUGUGAAGAAGGCCUUCGGGCUGUAAAGCACUUUCAGUCAGGAGGAAAGGUUAGUAGUUAAUACCUGCUAGCUGUGACGUUACUGACAGAAGAAGCACCGGCUAACUCCGUGCCAGCAGCCGCGGUAAUACGGAGGGUGCGAGCGUUAAUCGGAAUUACUGGGCGUAAAGCGUACGCAGGCGGUUUGUUAAGCGAGAUGUGAAAGCCCCGGGCUCAACCUGGGAACUGCAUUUCGAACUGGCAAACUAGAGUGUGAUAGAGGGUGGUAGAAUUUCAGGUGUAGCGGUGAAAUGCGUAGAGAUCUGAAGGGAUACCGAUGGCGAAGGCAGCCACCUGGGUCAACACUGACGCUCAUGUACGAAAGCGUGGGUAGCGAACAG